UUGAACUUUUUAUUGCCUGCUGAAUGAAAAAGUUUCACAUUUUAAUAUUCGGCAAUGUUUCCUGUUCAAUAUUCCUGAACAUUUUUAUUCACAGCUCAGAGUCCGUCUCUUCACUGACAUUUAUCCAAGACCAACAAUAUUCAUCUGUCUCUGAUUGUGUUUGUCUCAUCGUUCCAUCAGAACCAUAUUAGUUUCUGAGAUGUGUUCACUUGGAGGCUUCUGAUAAUUAUUCAGUAAUGAAUAUUCAAAUGUUUUCUUCUGUAUUCUGAAUCAGUCACAAAUAAACCACAUCAAAAGGUCAACAGUGAUUUUGAAAUGUAUUUGUUUCUUUAUUGGUUCAGAACCAAUAACUGGUUUCUGGCUGUUACAAACGGGAUCUAAGAGUUAUUUAGGCAACAUAUGUCACAAGUGCCAGGUUUAUUUCCUGGGUUUGCCUUUUAUUUUGACACCCUGUCUCUUCCUGUGCUCCUGUCAUUCCAGUUUGUCCAGCUUGUUGCUUGUUCACCUCUGCUCCCUCUGCCACAGCUGUGCCACAGCAGCCACUGGGCCCAGCUGCACUAAUCUGAACCUGGAGUCUUUAAACCAGGCACGUCGGACUAGGCAGCCUGUGAAAUGUCAUCAGUUUGGCGGAGUUUCUCAGGCUGUUUGAGCUAAUGAGCGGGUGUUGGACCAUUCAGGUGGAAAAGUGUCUGACACAUGUUAACCUGUUGGAAGCGGAGCCAUUAGCCCCUUGGAGUUCAAGCUGCUCUGACACUGUUACACUCAUCUGGUCUUCAUCACCUUCACACCUGAUGUUCGUCUGUAGGCUGUCCAGACUCACCUUCUGUCUUCUCAGGGAGGAUCCAGGGCUGUCAUCUGUCCACUGGAUCUUCAGCUGGUUCCUCCUGAACCUCUAG
RNAcentral lists this long non-coding RNA (896 nucleotides) under Betta splendens (Siamese fighting fish). RNAcentral describes it as "lncRNA (ENSBSLG00000023023.1)". Lineage: Eukaryota; Metazoa; Chordata; Actinopteri; Anabantiformes; Osphronemidae. The record is from RNAcentral.